Molecule: ribosomal RNA, 691 nt
Filed under: uncultured Cupriavidus sp.
Lineage: Bacteria; Pseudomonadati; Pseudomonadota; Betaproteobacteria; Burkholderiales; Burkholderiaceae
Description: bacterial SSU rRNA
Rfam family: Bacterial small subunit ribosomal RNA
Source: RNAcentral
GCUGGCGGCAUGCCUUACACAUGCAAGUCGAACGGCAGCGCGGACUUCGGUCUGGCGGCGAGUGGCGAACGGGUGAGUAAUACAUCGGAACGUACCCUGUUGUGGGGGAUAACUAGUCGAAAGAUUAGCUAAUACCGCAUACGACCUGAGGGUGAAAGCGGGGGACCGUAAGGCCUCGCGCAGCAGGAAGCGGCCGAUGUCUGAUUAGCUAGUUGGUGGGGUAAAGGCUCACCAAGGCGACGAUCAGUAGCUGGUCUGAGAGGACGAUCAGCCACACUGGGACUGAGACACGGGCCCAGACUCCUACGGGAGGCAGCAGUGGGGAAUUUUGGACAAUGGGGGCAACCCUGAUCCAGCAAUGCCGCGUGUGUGAAGAAGGCCUUCGGGUUGUAAAGCACUUUUGUCCGGAAAGAAAACGUUCUGGUUAAUACCUGGGGCGGAUGACGGUACCGGAAGAAUAAGCACCAGCUAACUACGUGCCAGCAGCCGCGGUAAUACGUAGGGUGCGAGCGUUAAUCGGAAUUACUGGGCGUAAAGCGUGCGCAGGCGGUUUUGUAAGACAGGCGUGAAAUCCCCGGGCUUAACCUGGGAAUUGCGCUUGUGACUGCAAGGCUAGAGUGCGUCAGAGGGGGGUAGAAUUCCACGUGUAGCAGUGAAAUGCGUAGAGAUGUGGAGGAAUACCGAUGGCGAA